GGAGCAAACAUCAGAGAGUUCUCUUGUCUCCACAGAAGUAAGGGUUGGCAUGGAGCAAACAUCAGAGAGUUCUCUUGUCUCCUCAGAAGUAAGGGUUGGCAUGGAGGAAACAUCAGAGAGUUCUCUUGUCUCCACAGAAGACUCAAAUGUCCUGCAUGACACCAAACCCCCACACUAUUGCUGAUGCCAAGGAGUGCUUGCUGACAGGAGUCUCAUAUGGCUAUUCCAUGAGAGGUUCUACCAGCACCUGACCAAUACAGAUGCAGAUACUCACAGGCAACCAUCAAACUGAACCCGGGG
This 300-nucleotide long non-coding RNA is filed under the name Mus musculus (house mouse). RNAcentral describes it as "predicted gene, 48845". Lineage: Eukaryota; Metazoa; Chordata; Mammalia; Rodentia; Muridae. The record is from RNAcentral.